This 432-nucleotide ribosomal RNA is filed under the name uncultured bacterium. RNAcentral describes it as "partial 16S ribosomal RNA". It matches the Rfam family "Bacterial small subunit ribosomal RNA", at positions 29 to 506 of the family's 1533-position model. The record is from RNAcentral.
AACGAACGCUGGCGGCAUGCCUAACACAUGCAAGUCGAACGAGACCUUCGGGUCUAGUGGCGCACGGGUGCGUAACGCGUGGGAACCUGCCCUUAGGUUCGGAAUAACUCCCCGAAAGGGGUGCUAAUACCGGAUAAUGUCUUCGGACCAAAGAUUUAUCGCCUUUGGAUGGGCCCGCGUUGGAUUAGCUAGUUGGUAGGGUAAAAGCCUACCAAGGCGACGAUCCAUAGCUGGUCUGAGAGGAUGGUCAGCCACACUGGGACUGAGACACGGCCCAGACUCCUACGGGAGGCAGCAGUGGGGAAUAUUGGACAAUGGGCGAAAGCCUGAUCCAGCAAUGCCGCGUGAGUGAUGAAGGCCUUAGGGUUGUAAAGCUCUUUUACCCGGGAUGAUAAUGACAGUACCGGGAGAAUAAGCUCCGGCUAACUCCGU